This 584-nucleotide ribosomal RNA is filed under the name uncultured Glomus. RNAcentral's name for it is "eukaryotic LSU rRNA". The stretch from base 165 to 318 matches the Rfam family "5.8S ribosomal RNA". The record is from RNAcentral. Lineage: Eukaryota; Fungi; Glomeromycota; Glomeromycetes; Glomerales; Glomeraceae.
GGAAGUAAAUGUCGUCACAAGGUUUCCGUAGGUGAACCUGCGGAAGGAUCAUUACCGAUUUUAGCGAACCUAACCUUUGGUUAUGGUCUCGCGAAAACUUUGUAUUUAAAACCCCACUCUUUUAUAAAUUGAAUCAUUCAUUAUUAUGUAUAAUAAAUAAAGAUCACUUUCAACAAGGGAUCUCUUGGCUCUCGCAUCGAUGAAGAACGUAGCGAAGUGCGAUAAGUAGUGUGAAUUGCAGAAUUCCGUGAAUCAUCGAAUUUUUGAACGCAAAUUGCGCUUCCUGGCAUCCCGGGAAGUAUGCCUGUUUGAGGGUUAGUAUUAACAAAAAAUCGGUUUGGUUGCAAAUUGUGACGUUUCCGGAGUUUGGGCUACCUUAACGUUUUUGGUUAAGGGGCUUAAAAUUGACCUUAUUUGCGCAUUUUUAGACGUACAUAAAUUAUUUUUUAUUCGUCUAUUCUUAAUGCCAAAAUCUUAUUAGAUGCGAUCACAUCGUGUGGUUUCCUGUCCAUAAAAUUUUCAAGAUUUGACCUCAAAUGAGGUAGGAGUACCCGCUGAACUUAAGCAUAUCAAUAAGCGGAGGA